RNAcentral lists this transfer RNA (77 nucleotides) under Xanthobacteraceae bacterium. Its description in RNAcentral is "tRNA-OTHER". It matches the Rfam family "tRNA". From Rfam's summary of the family: Transfer RNA (tRNA) molecules are approximately 80 nucleotides in length. Their secondary structure includes four short double-helical elements and three loops (D, anti-codon, and T loops). Further hydrogen bonds mediate the characteristic L-shaped molecular structure. tRNAs have two regions of fundamental functional importance: the anti-codon, which is responsible for specific mRNA codon recognition, and the 3' end, to which the tRNAs corresponding amino acid is attached (by aminoacyl-tRNA synthetases). tRNAs cope with the degeneracy of the genetic code in two manners: having more than one tRNA (with a specific anti-codon) for a particular amino acid; and 'wobble' base-pairing, i.e. permitting non-standard base-pairing at the 3rd anti-codon position. The record is from RNAcentral. Lineage: Bacteria; Pseudomonadati; Pseudomonadota; Alphaproteobacteria; Hyphomicrobiales; Xanthobacteraceae.
GCUGGGUUAGCUUAACUGGUAAAGCCGCCAGAUGUUUCUGGCGAGUUGGAAGGUUCAAGUCCUUUCACCCAGCUCCA